UUUCCGGUGGGUCAGCAGAGCAGGGCAAUCGCGGGUGUAUCACUCACUGACGAGUCACCAGGAGGAGGCCAGUCAGACACGUUUUGUUCUGUUUGUUUGCCACAAGCCAUCGUGGUAACCAGUUGCUGUGGCAGAGACUCCCACUGCUAACCAAAAACUUGGCAUCACGCUUAUGACUAAUGCAAUGUAAAAAAAAAGUUUAUUUUCCAAUGUAAAGCAUCAUCUAACAGCAAACAUCAUCCCCUAAUGCAGCAGGAGGCCAAAUGCUCCUCCUGGUUUCCCCUUGGUGGAAGCUGAGCAAGCGGAGCGGAGGGCAAGGGCUCCCUGUCACCUACAGAGGUUUCAGCUCACAGAGCAAAUAGGUGUCGGCCCAGCAGUCAGUCCUGAUAGCACAUGUCCUCAUACGCUCCUACUGCCUGCACCCAAAAGGCAGAGUAAAUGGGAAUGGAGAUAAAUGUAUGUUUGUCAACUGUGUUUUGAACAGAUUGGGUGCAAACGUAACACAGAACACAUCUCUUUGCUUCCUUUGCACAAAAUGGGUUGGAAAAACAGCUCAGGAAAGUCUCUGGCUCCUCACUUAGAAACCGCAGCACGUUCAAUUCACAUGCCAUAAAAGAGACAGUCAGAGAAGUGAAAGGAAAAGCAAACUGUGCACAGGGCUCACACAAAGCCCUGAGAGCACAGCGUGCUGCACCUGUGAAUCAGGUGCUUCCUGCUGCAGCGCACCAUAUCCUGCACAGGGAGAUCGGGGAAAAGGAGACACAGGGGGAGGCAGCUUAGAGGGAUCAGGGCCAAAAUCCAGGGCAGGUCAUUGGCAGAAACAGGUCCUCGAAUGUAGCAGGAGGAGGUACAGAUAAGGCUGAGAUGGUAUGCAAGGUCAAAUAUGAACAAAAGAUACUUCUCUUGAAAAUGACUGCAGACAAUUUAUGAGAUUAGUAUUUCAUACUUGCAAAAACAGGCAGCUUUCUCUCAAGAAGGAAAAUUGAGCUGUCUAGGCUGGGAGUACUUGCUUCAGGUACGGAGGUGGAUUAAAAGCCCGAUGGUCAGUGUGGAAAAGCACCCAAACGCCAGCCUCAAAUACCCAGGGUCCACUGUGAUGCACUUACCUGCAGGGGACUCAGAGCUGGAGGCUCCCCUGUGCCAGACCUGCCUGGGCGACCACUCCUUCCAGCGAGGCAUCACACCGCAGGAGGCCGAGUCCUGCUCCUGGGAGAGCCAGCCAAGCAGCAAGGCGAAAGAGCCCCACAGCAGGGGAGAGCCGCUGCCCAGGUCCGAAACACGGCCCCUCUGGGGCAGCGACGACACAGGUAGGGGCUGGGCUGCACAUGGGGGCUGCGGGGGGUUGUUUUUCCACAGAUUCCUUCAGGGCUGUGGUGCUUUGUCCCAAGGCCAGGCUUCAUUGGAGGGUGUUUUUCAUGUUGAAAUGAGAUGUAGACUGUCACCCGCUGUGUGUUUGCUGGACAACAGCAACAACAACAACUUCUGCGUAGGAAGGCUGAAGCACACAAUGUGCUGCACAAGGGCUCCUGAGGAAUUAAGCUAUGGCAUAAUGAGGAGAAACAAAAGUAUUAUAGCAAAUCCCUUGGAUAAACCACCAGCCAUGCUUCGGCAUCGACCUGCUGUGUGGGCAGAGCUCUCAUGAGCUGGCAGGAAGAGCCCUGCAGGUGCAUGGAGACCAGGCGCUGUGUGUGAGGAGCUGCAUUGGUUUCACGAGAAGGAAGAUAGUACAGUGCAGACAGAAUAAUUGAGAAUGUGAGCUCACACACAUCCUUCUUACCCUGUUGCCUUUUUGGUUUGGGUCUUUGUU
Molecule: non-coding RNA, 1807 nt
Organism: Anas platyrhynchos (mallard)
Lineage: Eukaryota; Metazoa; Chordata; Aves; Anseriformes; Anatidae
Source: RefSeq, a predicted model, not a curated record